GGAGCAUCUGGCGGCAGCGGCUGGUGUGGCGGCAGCGCCUGCGGCGGUGGCUGUGUCUGGUGCAGUCGUGUGUGUUGGGGACGACGUCAUCUGCACGAGUCAGGUUUGCCCGUCGCGUCCGUCCGUUUGUAAGUCGUGUAUUUCAGGCAUUCCGUUUCCUAGGCAGGUUUCCUAGAGGCCUAGAUGUGUUCCGAAUGUGGGCACGUCGUCCACAUGGAGCGAGGUCACAGCAACGCCUGGGGCAUAUUGGACUUUCAAAUGUUUGGUAUGGGGAUGCUUUUGUGCAGGUUACUAGGUUUGUGUAAUUGUUAUGAAGAGGGUUUAUGAAACACAUCAGUUCUCGGUAGACAUUCUGGCACGCAUCCGCAUACGUCCACGUCGGCACGCAUGUCCCGGGGGGGUUUGAGACCGCGUUGGAGGGUGCGGGUAGGAGAGAGGAUAUGGCUUGGAGCAGGCCCCAGGAUGGGCAUGGGUGUCAUGGAUGGGAUGGAAUUGUUGUUCGCCGUGUGAGAGAUAUUCCUUUGAUGAGGUCACGUUGGGGGAAGGGGAAAACAGGAAGAGGCGGGUGCGCUGCCCGGCGUUGACUGCAUCAGUUCCUGGAGAGCACUUCGUAAUCGAUCACAUGCAGAAAUCGUCAGUAACUUUUACCAGAGCAGGUGUUAGCAACCAGACCAAGUCGCCGCCGCAGAUGCCCGGCGAGCUCCAAGGGUCGCCUGGCGAUCCAUGCAGGGGCGUCUGCAGUGAUGACCACGAGAAGAGCAUUAGGAAAUUUUGCGUGCAAGUUAAAAUUAAGCUUACAAGUUACCUUUUUAUUCAGGGACAGCACGACGUCCACAUCCGGCGAAAGCCCAACAGCUCGGCGCGUCUCUGCCAGCAGCCCCGCCCAGGUGCAGUGCUGAGGCAGCUCAAGCUUGUAAGUAACGUUGGUUGACGCAACGCGCAAUCUUAGCCUUGGCAUGUCCUUCGCAGCGACAGCUGACUGAUUGUCUGGUGCCUAUAGGCGUUAGCGUUGUUGCUACCUUGAGUUUACAGAGAAAACAGUAUUCCAUGUGAGAGCUAGAUGUCUUCAAACUUACUGCCCAGAGCGCUGUCCUGUGCAGGCAAUGCUCUCACGGCAAAUGUUACGACAACACAACCCUUACCCCACAACUCCAGACACACUCCAGACGUAACCCGUUAUCCAGACGUUUUGCAAUCACUCCAUACGCUUAAUGCUUAGGAACCAUAUGCAAUGGACCACACGACAGGUUGCCCAGUUGUAAGGCAGAUGGAUCCCGACUGCGAAGUCAUUCAUGUCGACAGCGACCACGGUGAAUCUGAUGACGAUGAGGUUUCCGAGGUUUGCACGUCAGGGGAUUCUCUGUUUGGUGCACCUGCUCAAGUGUUUAUCGUUCGAGCACUCAGCAAGGCUAUGACGGGGUUCAGACCCUCGGUUAUGUGUGAAGGGUUCCUUGCGGAGCUGUCAAAAUCAUCUUCAGGCAAGCCCUAAAUAACGUUUGAGCUGUUUCGAUCCUCCAUAGAAAAGGUCUACCGCUGAGUCAUUCGAGUCCGCGACGCCCUCUUUCGAAGGUUACAUUCUUGCGCCUCUUGGACGUGAUCAACAACUCAGCUUUAAGUAUGAGCCACCUUCUCCCAAGUUCAGCC
This 1644-nucleotide long non-coding RNA is filed under the name Volvox carteri. Its description in RNAcentral is "long non-coding RNA (VCAR_LNC003143)". Lineage: Eukaryota; Viridiplantae; Chlorophyta; Chlorophyceae; Chlamydomonadales; Volvocaceae. The record is from RNAcentral.